RNAcentral lists this ribosomal RNA (541 nucleotides) under Dipseudopsis varians. RNAcentral's name for it is "SSU rRNA". It matches the Rfam family "Eukaryotic small subunit ribosomal RNA", at positions 602 to 1108 of the family's 1831-position model. Lineage: Eukaryota; Metazoa; Arthropoda; Insecta; Trichoptera; Dipseudopsidae. The record is from RNAcentral.
UACUAAAGUUGUUGCGGUUAAAAAGCUCGUAGUUGAAACUGUGUCCCGCGGCGUCGGUCCACCGUCUGCGGUGCGACGGGCGCGUCAGCGGGGCUUCUCGCCGGUGCGUGUCAUCCGCCGAAACGCGGGCGUCCGCGGUGACGCGGCGCUCGUCGUCGAGGCGGGCCCUCGCGGCUGUUUACUUUGAACAAAUUAGAGUGCUCAAAGCGGGCUUUCAUUCGCCUGAAUAUUGUGCGCAUGGAAUAAUAGAAUAGGACCUCGGUUCUGUUUUGUUGGCUUUCUGAUACCAGAGGUAAUGAUUAAUAGGGACAACUGGGGGCAUUCGUAUUGCGACGUUAGAGGUGAAAUUCUUGGAUCGUCGCAAGACGGACUAAAGCGAAAGCAUUUGCCAAAGGUGUUUUCAUUAAUCAAGAACGAAAGUUAGAGGUUCGAAGGCGAUUAGAUACCGCUGUAGUUCUAACCAUAAAUGAUGCCAGCCAGCGAUCCGCCGAAGUUUCAUAAAUUUAACCCGGUGGGCAGCUCCCGGGAAACCAAAGCUUUC